RNAcentral lists this ribosomal RNA (429 nucleotides) under Acidobacteriota bacterium. RNAcentral describes it as "Acidobacteria bacterium partial 16S ribosomal RNA". It matches the Rfam family "Bacterial small subunit ribosomal RNA", at positions 355 to 776 of the family's 1533-position model. The record is from RNAcentral. Lineage: Bacteria; Pseudomonadati; Acidobacteriota.
UGGGGAAUUUUGGACAAUGGGGGAAACCCUGAUCCAGCCAUCCCGCGUGUGCGAUGAAGGCCUUCGGGUUGUAAAGCACUUUUGGCAGGAAAGAAACGUCAUGGGUUAAUACCCCGUGAAACUGACGGUACCUGUAGAAUAAGCACCGGCUAACUACGUGCCAGCAGCCGCGGUAAUACGUAGGGUGCAAGCGUUAAUCGGAAUUACUGGGCGUAAAGCGUGCGCAGGCGGUUCGGAAAGAAAGAUGUGAAAUCCCAGAGCUCAACUUUGGAACUGCAUUUUUAACUACCGGGCUAGAUUGUGUCAGAGGGAGGUGGACUUCCGCGUGUAGCAGUGAAAUGCGUAGCUAUGCGGAGAAACACCGAUGGCGAAGGCAGCCUCCUGGGAUAACACUGACGCUCAUGCACGAAAGCGUGGGGAGCAAACAGG